UUAAGAAUGUGCCGGUUUGGCAGUGCUUUGCUAGCUGGCUGUUCAAUAAAUGAUUCCAGCAGCUGGUUGCACGCCCCACUGUCACAAUCCAAACCCAACGCGAAAGGAAUGGA
Molecule: non-coding RNA, 113 nt
Organism: Ornithorhynchus anatinus (platypus)
Lineage: Eukaryota; Metazoa; Chordata; Mammalia; Monotremata; Ornithorhynchidae
Gene: MIR449C
Product: microRNA mir-449c
Source: RefSeq, marked provisional